AGUGAACGCUGGCGGUAGGCCUAACACAUGCAAGUCGAACGGCAGCACAGUAAGAGCUUGCUCUUACGGGUGGCGAGUGGCGGACGGGUGAGGAAUACAUCGGAAUCUACUUUUUCGUGGGGGAUAACGUAGGGAAACUUACGCUAAUACCGCAUACGGCCUACGGGUGAAAGCAGGGGAUCUUCGGACCUUGCGCGAUUGAAUGAGCCGAUGUCGGAUUAGCUAGUUGGCGGGGUAAAGGCCCACCAAGGCGACGAUCCGUAGCUGGUCUGAGAGGAUGAUCAGCCACACUGGAACUGAGACACGGUCCAGACUCCUACGGGAGGCAGCAGUGGGGAAUAUUGGACAAUGGGCGCAAGCCUGAUCCAGCCAUACCGCGUGGGUGAAGAAGGCCUUCGGGUUGUAAAGCCCUUUUGUUGGGAAAGAAAAGCAGCAGGUUAAGACCCCGCUGUUCUGACGGUACCCAAAGAAUAAGCACCGGCUAACUUCGU
RNAcentral lists this ribosomal RNA (491 nucleotides) under uncultured bacterium. RNAcentral describes it as "partial 16S ribosomal RNA". It matches the Rfam family "Bacterial small subunit ribosomal RNA", at positions 29 to 506 of the family's 1533-position model. The record is from RNAcentral.